CUGCGAACACCCCCGCGAUGACAGCAAGAAACUCAGCACAGGCUAAUUGAUGCCACUGAGGGGAUGAGUUCUCCGUGCAGCCAGGGAACAGCCUGCUACUGGCAGCUGAGGCGUAGCCCAGCAAACUGCUUUCAUGAGAGCGGACUGUAAAGAUCUAUGACAGCAGUAACAGGCAGGGAUAAAGUUGAUGUCCAUUGACCCUGUUCCACAGCAUGGAUGAGCUCACAGAGGAGUCCUGCAAAGCACAUUCCUGCAUGUCAUAGGAUCAUGGGAAUGAAUCCCAGAUUCAUCACCUGGGAAUCCUGCCUCAUUACCUGGAAACCACUGUUCUGUACAUCAGAUGCUGUGAAAGUGUUGAAUUCAGGAAACAAGUGAUAACAUUGCAACCGCCUAUUAAUGUCCAAGAGUUCAGCUAUUACUCAAGCACGUUAUAAGCCAGCUGAGAUAUGUAUGCAGCUAUCAAGUAACAGAUGAUCUGUCCUGUUUAUGUAUACCAAUGUUGGAUGCCAAAUGAGGGUGAAGGGGUUAAUGACAAAGUGUUCAGUAGCAAGCAUGACAUACCCAUUCAAGGCAUUCCCUUGCCUUUACUUCUGUCUCACUGUCAUGACAAGCUCCUGUCUUUCAGCUGUGCCAUUCCCACUGUUUGCCAAGCUAUUCUGUGAAUGGGAUCACACAAGUGACACUCAAAAAAAGGCUCUUUUUUUCACACAGGAUUACUUUUCAACUAGCUGCAUUUCACUGACAGGGUUUGUUACGCGGCUCAUACGCAUCGUGACGGCACCAGGGGGAGGGCAGCAGUGUGGGCGAAGGGUGAGGCGACAGGUAAUACCUACUUUAGACGGUGUUGCCACCCAGAAAAUUCUUUAUGCAGCUACUCUCUCAAACAAAGGAUUGCUGUUAGUAUGUUUACACAUUACAUUCAUACACCAUGAAAAUAUAUACUAAUAGUGUGAAAUUGUAGCCUUGGUGGAAUUUAGAGGCAACCAAAGCUCCUUUUUUUCCUCUGGACAUCUGAAGUCUCUGCCCUUUCAGUUGCUCUAACCUGAUGCUAAGUAGGAGCUGAACACCUUGGUUGAAACCCUGGCAGAAAGGCAGUCCCUGAUGACACAUCACACUGACCUGGAGGGGUGAGGAGGAGCAGGUUUCACGUCAGCAAUUCUCAUAAGUUUAAACCAAAAACUCUUUGACUUCACCAGUACUAAAACACAAAUAAGCAUACUGCAACGUCUUACCUUAAAGCGUGUCCUUUCAGAAGAACUAAGGCAUCUGAGUGAGAAGUGAAGUAGGUUAAGCAGAGGUACAUCCCCUUCUGCCUGUUCUGGUAAUCAAUGGCAGAGGAGCAGAAUGGCAGCCAUGCAGUAAAAACCGUGGCUGCUAAAUUUACCACAGCUGAUUUAUCAAUGCUCUUACUCAUCUGGAAUGUACCCACAUGAACAGCCCUACUGAAAUCAGCUUGUAAAUUAGAUAAAUGUCACCCACACCCAUUUUAAGAUUCCUUUUUUGCCAAGAUGGCAUAAAGGGGGAGGCGGGGGUUGUGUAUAGGGAAGGAAACAGGUGUUGGGACUAGGAUUUUGAAAUCAGUAGGGCAAGUCAUCCAAGUGCCUGGCAACAUAUGCAGCUGUUUACAAUUUCACAUAAGUUUGUGAGAAAAUCUAGACUGCAACUUCAGAACGCGAAUACGGAUCCAUGCAUGCAAAGCUCUUGUGCUCUCACAGGGGGUAUCAGCACACAAUUAAACAAAACUAUUUAUAUUUACUAACCACGUUGUUGAAACAACAGUGCAAGUCUUGCUUUGCAAUCUAAGAAUAUCCAUUUUCAUGCCAAAUAUACGUGAAUUAAAUUCACCUUAUACAAUUCCCUGAGAGAACUGAAGAUUAAAGAGAAAUCUGCUCCUUUAAACUCUGGAGAAUAACCUCAGUGAACUAACCCUUGGUUGCUAAUUGAAUGACAUCAGAAAGCAGCCAUCAGCAGUGCUCUGCCAAUUUCCUAGACACUGGAGAGUUUUGCUAAGAGUUGCAUUAAAUGAUCUGUCAUCAACUCAAUAUUAAUCUCCCAGUAUUUUAUUACUCAGUCUUAAAUAGGGCCUUCUGGAGGGUAUGAUUUAUUGGCAAUGGGAGGCAGUAAUUACAAAGUGAGGUAUAGUAAAAAACCCACGGCAAGUAAGUUAAAACAGUGUCUGGGGACCAUUUGAUAUUGUGCUGGCAAACAGAACAUGUUAUAAAACCGUUUUAGAGAGAACAGAUAUAAUACAGGCAUCUAGCUGCUAAAGUACAAAAAGGAACCCUGAAGCAGAAAAUUAUGUUUUUUAUUUCUCAUGUUAAGGCGUAACCUUUCAGGCUACGCUCCUUUAACAGUGGAUUCUGCCUAAACAGGCUACCAUGGGGAUGCACCGAGUUUCUCAAAUGUGCUGCAGGACUGGACACAUUUUUUAAACGUGUAGUAAUCACUGUACGUGAGAUGCCAUGUUCCAUGGUCUGCUUUUUGGGUGCCAUAUGGCUGUUGACAGUCUCACUGAACUCAGUGGUGAAACGGCUCCAAGUAAGAGUAGAGUUAAGCUGAGGAAAUAUGCACUAUACAUGUGCAUAACACUGACAUAAUUCUGUUUUAGUUAAGGGAAUAUUUCAGGAAAGUGAAAACAAAAUCCCACUGAACUAUUACAGUUUAGAUAUCCCAACCUGAGCCAACAUGAACAGAUAACAGGUAUUGUGAAGAGUCGGUAAGAAAAACUAAAAUCAAAGCGUACAAAUCACCAGCUGUCACAGGGCAGGGCGUAAGUCUGCUAAAAAAGAUAAAUGGCUUUGGAAAGCAUCACUGAGUUAUAAGGAAGCCUUAACCCAUGAAACACCAAGCCGACCUUACAGCCUGAUGUUCCUACAGCCAUCAUCGUUGUGCAACAAAGCAUGAGUAAUAGCAGAGGAGUUUAGUUCAACCGUAUCAGUGCAUGGAAAGACCAGAAAAGUACUGGAGCAUUUCCCUGAAUUGGCUACUCAUUGCAACAAACCCUCUGCCUUGAAGAACUUGUAUUCCUUGUAGGUAAAAUGGGCAGGUGGCGCUGGAAAGAGGUACAUUUUACAUGAUAAAUGACCAGCAGCAAUGUACCUUGCAAAGCAUAAUAGACCUCAAUGAAGAGCAUUUCUUCAUUAAACAACAUUUUGAAGAUGUAUAGCAUAAUGGAAAAAAAUAAAAAUCAUUACUAGUAUUAUUGCAUUAUAAUUAGGGAAUUUGGACUAUUUCUAAGCAAAACAGAGACAGCAUACUGAUUUGGGAUAGAUUAUUGGUUUCUCACUCACCGUUGUCAUUAAUAUGCAUUCAGUAACUGAAUUACUGCUCUUGAAAUACUAACUGUUUAGGUAUAAAACAAGUAUGCAGAUUGUGUAAUGGGAAUUUUAUUAAGAAAUCAUGCAAUAGCUUAAUAUCCUUGUGUUAUUAUUUGUAAUAGUAUAUUCUUUGAGUUUGCGAGAGCAAACCAAGAAAAUGACAGCUAAGAGUCUCUCCAUAUGUACCUGAUGUC
Molecule: long non-coding RNA, 3511 nt
Organism: Cuculus canorus (common cuckoo)
Lineage: Eukaryota; Metazoa; Chordata; Aves; Cuculiformes; Cuculidae
Exons: 4
Source: RefSeq, a predicted model, not a curated record